RNAcentral lists this long non-coding RNA (1551 nucleotides) under Salvia miltiorrhiza (redroot sage). RNAcentral's name for it is "long non-coding RNA (SMIL_LNC010518)". Lineage: Eukaryota; Viridiplantae; Streptophyta; Magnoliopsida; Lamiales; Lamiaceae. The record is from RNAcentral.
GUGGUUUGGUAUGUUUCCUUUUUCCUUUUGACGUUGGUGAAUAUUUAAUUUGGGCUUGAAUGAUUAUGUAUAAUUCCAUUACCACUGUAUCCAUCUGCUACCUUUUUCCUGCUGGUUUCGUUUCAGUACAUGGGGUGAUGCAAUAAAGAGCUUUUGUGGUUGUGGAAUGGUCCUCAAGAAUGGAAGAGAGCUGAAGGAAUGAAAGAGGAACUUGGCUUUAAACAUUAACUGCCCCUCUUGAUUCUAUUUGAACUGAAUUCCUCGGUUGAGUAUGUGGACUUUAAAAACUGUCCAUUCCAGGUGAAUUCUCUCCAUGAACUCUGUUUUCUCAUUUUUCUUGAACAUAUUGCCUGUAUCAUUUCUGAAAAAUGAUAUUUUUGAUGCUUACCGAGUUCAUUGAUUUGUGUGGUAGGAGCUUAAGAGAUUGGCUGCAUAUGCAGCAAGCAAUGUUUUUUGACCAACAUCAUUAUGAAGAAUCAUAUUUCUUCUGUCUGGCUAUAACUAUAAUAAUUUGCUAUGGUAUGCAGCUUAUACACUGAAUAUAUGAAUUUCUUGCUGAUUGAAUGAGAAUAUAUGUAUUUCUUACUUGUGUUCCUAUUUUGACUAAGUCUUGAUUUAUAUUAAUAACAAUAGUAUAGUUAAGGGACUCAUGCCAAUACUUAGGUGUAAAUAAAAGGAAAUGAUGAAUCACGUUGAUUGAUAACUUGAUCGAGGCCCCAAUUAUCCUUUCUGAAAACCUUCCUUUGUGGGUUUAGAGUAAAAAUGAAGCCUUUUUAUUUUAUCUAUAAUCUGAUUCGUGUGUGCUCAUAUUUUAAAUGGCAGAAAAGAAUCACCAAUAUGAUUUAAUGAUUUGUUUUUUGGUGGAUUAAAUUAAUGCAGAUCAUGACUCAUGAGUUACGAGAACUUGCUACUUCUUUUGAGUCUUUGUUGGGUAAGUCUACCAGGUUUUGAGCAUUGCAGGACGUGUACGGAGUAUUAUGAGGCAGGCUGAUAGGCCUUAAUUUGUAUCUGCAUUCUGUCAGACCAACUUAUUUAGGGCAUCUUCUAAUCAAAUUUGGUUAAAUUUCAUCUUAUGCCUUUUUUUGUUUUGAAUUUUCAGUUUUGGGGAUUCCCAAGCUCCAUUGAAGAAGUCAGUCGGGCCUCCGAGAAGAUCACCUCUAGAUGGUAAAUUUAAUAUGCAACUUCACCUUUAUCACCUUCUCUAUAAUUUUCAGUUUUUAGCGAGAAUUAUUAAUUUUUCUCUUAAAACUUUGGGGGAUUUAGCUGUAAUUUAUACCGUGUGUUUUAAUUUUUGGUCUGGGUUUUAUUUUGCAGAUUUUGUUGCUCAUUGGAAUCGAAUAAUCAGCUCAUAACUCAACAAAGAAUGGGAUCAAGAGCUGCAGAUCGUCUUCGAGGAUUGCAAUACUAAGAAAAAGGUUGGAUUUAUAUAUUCAUGAUUAUUUUUUUUUGGAAUUUUCUGUUUGGAGAUUCCAUUUUUAGGGCAUCUUCUAUUCAAGUAUGGCUUAUUGAUGUUCUCAAUGGAUGAUGUAAUCUGAUUUGUUUCUCAUUCAG